ACAACAUUUAUUUUGGACUGUCGGUCUACAGAGCAAUAUUACCCACUCUGUGGAAGAUCUUCCUUUGUCGU
RNAcentral lists this microRNA precursor (71 nucleotides) under Bombyx mori (domestic silkworm). Its description in RNAcentral is "mir-2774 microRNA precursor family". It matches the Rfam family "mir-2774 microRNA precursor family". The record is from Rfam by way of RNAcentral. Lineage: Eukaryota; Metazoa; Arthropoda; Insecta; Lepidoptera; Bombycidae.